RNAcentral lists this ribosomal RNA (253 nucleotides) under uncultured bacterium. RNAcentral describes it as "partial 16S ribosomal RNA". It matches the Rfam family "Bacterial small subunit ribosomal RNA", at positions 524 to 776 of the family's 1533-position model. The record is from RNAcentral.
UACGUAGGGUGCAAGCGUUACUCGGAAUUACUGGGCGUAAAGCGUGCGCAGGCGGCUUUGCAAGACAGAUGUGAAAUCCCCGGGCUUAACCUGGGAACUGCAUUUGUGACUGCAUGGCUGGAGUGCGGCAGAGGGGGAUGGAAUUCCGCGUGUAGCAGUGAGAUGCGUAGAUAUGCGGAGGAACACCGAUGGCGAAGGCAAUCCCCUGGGCCUGCACUGACGCUCAUGCACGAAAGCGUGGGGAGCAAACAGG